This 29-nucleotide non-coding RNA is filed under the name Rattus norvegicus (Norway rat). Lineage: Eukaryota; Metazoa; Chordata; Mammalia; Rodentia; Muridae. The record is from RNAcentral.
UCCCUCUGAGGAACAGGUCCUCUUGUGUC